AAACCAUGAUGAGGGCAUUGAGACCAAUAGACCUUGAACCUCUCCCACGCUUCACUGAAGCUCUCUAGAGUCUAGACCUUUCUGUUGAAGCCCAGAGAUUUCGUUCCUGAUCUU
RNAcentral lists this small nucleolar RNA (114 nucleotides) under Brassica oleracea var. oleracea. RNAcentral's name for it is "Plant small nucleolar RNA R71". It matches the Rfam family "Plant small nucleolar RNA R71". From Rfam's summary of the family: R71 is a member of the C/D box family of snoRNAs containing the C (UGAUGA) and D (CUGA) box motifs. Multiple nearly identical copies of this snoRNA have been identified in Arabidopsis, and it is thought to function as a 2'-O-ribose methylation guide for 18S ribosomal RNA. Lineage: Eukaryota; Viridiplantae; Streptophyta; Magnoliopsida; Brassicales; Brassicaceae. The record is from Rfam by way of RNAcentral.